This 502-nucleotide ribosomal RNA is filed under the name uncultured bacterium. RNAcentral's name for it is "partial 16S ribosomal RNA". It matches the Rfam family "Bacterial small subunit ribosomal RNA", at positions 28 to 507 of the family's 1533-position model. The record is from RNAcentral.
GACGAACGCUGGCGGCGUGCCUAAUACAUGCAAGUCGAACGAACCGCGACGGACUGCUUGCACUUGGUCAAGGAGAGUGGCGAACGGGUGAGUAACACGUGGGUAACCUACCUCAUAGGGGGGGAUAAAAGUCGGAAACAACUGCUAAUACCGCAUAGGACAUAGUGUCACAUGAUCCAGUGAGUAAAGGUGGCGCAAGCUAUCGCGAAUAGAUAGACCCGCGGUGCAUUAGCUAGUUGGUAGGGGAAAGGCCUACCAAGGCGAUGAUGCAUAGCCGGCCUGGGAGGGUGAUCGGCCACAUUGGGACUGAGACACGGCCCAGACUCCUACGGGAGGCAGCAGUAGGGAAUUUUCAGCAAUGGACGCAAGUCUGACGGAGCAACGCCGCGUGAGUGAAGAAGGUCUUCGGAUCGUAAAGCUCUGUUGUUCGGGAAGAACAGCGUAUCGCUAAACUGCUAUGGGUAUGACGGUACCGAAAGAGAAAGCCCCGGCUAACUACGUG